CAAACCUAAUACCAAACCUAAUAACCAAUUUUUCCAAACCUUUUUCCAAACCUAAUACCAAACCUAAUUCUAACCCUAUAAUACAAAACCUAAUUCUAACCCUACUCACCUUCUUUGACAGAUCAGAUGAGAAGACUGCAAAUUUCAGUGUCAGAGAUCUUCACAUUCCUUUCAUGCAAUCUUCCAUGUGUCCCCUCUUAUUAAAAAUUAAAAAUCUAAAAAUUCUAUUUAUGAUCAAAAGACCUGCAAAUUCCUUUCAUGCAAUCUUCCAUGUGUCUUCUAUGGAAGAUUUCUCCUUGUAUCUUCCAUGCAACAUUCCCAUGUGUCCAACAUAUUGUAUCCAUGUUUCUCUAUAAAUACCACCAAUCAACUCAUCUAUCACCAACAAAUCAAU
This 394-nucleotide long non-coding RNA is filed under the name Trifolium pratense (red clover). Its description in RNAcentral is "long non-coding RNA (TPRA_LNC001475)". Lineage: Eukaryota; Viridiplantae; Streptophyta; Magnoliopsida; Fabales; Fabaceae. The record is from RNAcentral.